CAGAGAAUGGUUUAAAGUGAGAAUACUAGCUUUGGGGGCUAGUGAUAGGAGUUAAAGUCUCCUUUCUUUGA
This 71-nucleotide transfer RNA is filed under the name Lates niloticus (Nile perch). Its description in RNAcentral is "tRNA-Pro". It matches the Rfam family "tRNA". Rfam says of the family: Transfer RNA (tRNA) molecules are approximately 80 nucleotides in length. The record is from RNAcentral. Lineage: Eukaryota; Metazoa; Chordata; Actinopteri; Centropomidae.